Molecule: long non-coding RNA, 294 nt
Organism: Podarcis raffonei (Aeolian wall lizard)
Lineage: Eukaryota; Metazoa; Chordata; Lepidosauria; Squamata; Lacertidae
Exons: 3
Source: RefSeq, a predicted model, not a curated record
AUUGGCACUGGAAACAAUUUCUUAAAUUGGAACAUUGAAGAAAGCUCUGGCAAAUGGCCUGUUGCAGAAUUGACACUUUUGCAGACUACAUCAAAGACUCUCAUCAAAUACAAUUGACCUGUGGAAAGGACUUUAUGAUCUGAAAAUAAGAGACAAUCCAUGUAACCGGCCAGGACAGAUGUCUCUGAAUUCACUCCAAAGUUCAGGACGCAUGUUUGAAACUACAUUCUGUAUUUUGCAUCUGACAGUAAUGUACCUGUGUUCUCCUUGCUGCUGCAUGGAAUAGUGCAUGAA